This 214-nucleotide ribosomal RNA is filed under the name uncultured bacterium. RNAcentral's name for it is "partial 16S ribosomal RNA". It matches the Rfam family "Bacterial small subunit ribosomal RNA", at positions 1288 to 1500 of the family's 1533-position model. The record is from RNAcentral.
UCAGUUCAGAUUGUAGGCUGCAACUUGCCUACAUGAAGUCGGAAUUGCUAGUAAUCGCGGAUCAGCAUGCCGCGGUGAAUACGUUCCCGGGCCUUGUACACACCGCCCGUCACACCAUGAGAGCCGGUAACACCCGAAGUCAGUAGCCUAACCGCAAGGGGGGCGCUGCCGAAGGUGGGAUUGGGUAAUUGGGGUGAAGUCGUAACAAGGUAUC